RNAcentral lists this ribosomal RNA (468 nucleotides) under uncultured bacterium. RNAcentral's name for it is "partial 16S ribosomal RNA". It matches the Rfam family "Bacterial small subunit ribosomal RNA", at positions 28 to 507 of the family's 1533-position model. The record is from RNAcentral.
GACGAACGCUGGCGGCGUGCUUAACACAUGCAAGUCGAACGGAAAGGCCCUGCUUUUGUGGGGUGCUCGAGUGGCGAACGGGUGAGUAACACGUGAGUAACCUGCCCUUGACUUUGGGAUAACUUCAGGAAACUGGGGCUAAUACCGGAUAGGAGCUCCUGCUGCAUGGUGGGGGUUGGAAAGUUUCGGCGGUUGGGGAUGGACUCGCGGCUUAUCAGCUUGUUGGUGGGGUAGUGACUUACCAAGGCUUUGACGGGUAGCCGGCCUGAGAGGGUGACCGGCCACAUUGGGACUGAGAUACGGCACAGACUCCUACGGGAGGCAGCAGUGGGGAAUAUUGCACAAUGGGCGGAAGCCUGAUGCAGCAACGCCGCGUGCGGGAUGACGGCCUUCGGGUUGUAAACCGCUUUCGCCUGUGACGAAGCGUGAGUGACGGUAAUGGGUAAAGAAGCACCGGCUAACUACGUG